UUUUUGGUCCCUUUAGGGCUCCCGUCGAGCAGCUCUAUAUAAGCGGGAGGCGCGGGCCCGUCGGCCCCUUUUUCUCGGCGAGCCGCAGAGGGACGGGGGUGGAAAUGUGAAUACUGCACAUGCAAGAGGUUUUCUCCUAGAGCUGAGAACAAUCAAAAGAUACCAUGGUCCAAGAAGUCUGCAUCCUAGGAAUGAGUUGCUUUGGAGGAGGACAGCACUAAUUUCCUUUGAAAUUGUGUAACAUAAAUGCUGUUGAAGAGCCACAAUCAGAGGUGUCAAACCAGAGGUGCUUGAGGAGCAGUAUGAUGUACCUUCCUGGGCUACAGAAGCAGGGCUGGCCUUACCAUGAGAUGAUGCCUGUAGGUUUGUUUUCUAACAAACCUGACAGCAGAAAAAGAAACCAUUUAGAAUCUCUGCAUUUGAAGUUUGCUAGAUAUAGCUUGAUCCUCUGCCAUGCACUUGCUCAAAGACGCUCCAUGCACUACAGACCAUGAAUGUGAAUAUAAUAUAUGGUGUGAUGUUAAUAUAUUUUUGCAACUGUAAAUGUUCUCCGUAACCUGUUUAGCCAAGGUGCAAUAAAGAAUAAAAAGCUAUUCUGAUGUUUA
Molecule: long non-coding RNA, 605 nt
Organism: Chelonia mydas (Green sea turtle)
Lineage: Eukaryota; Metazoa; Chordata; Testudines; Cheloniidae
Exons: 6
Source: RefSeq, a predicted model, not a curated record